CAGUCGCCACGGUAAUACAGAGGGUGCGAGCGUUAAUCGGAUUUACUGGGCGUAAAGCGUGCGUAGGCGGCUUAUUAAGUCGGAUGUGAAAUCCCUGAGCUUAACUUAGGAAUUGCAUUCGAUACUGGGAAGCUAGAGUAUGGGAGAGGAUGGUAGAAUUCCAGGUGUAGCGGUGAAAUGCGUAGAGAUCUGGAGGAAUACCGAUGGCGAAGGCAGCCAUCUGGCCUAAUACUGACGCUGAGGUACGAAAGCAUGGGGAGCAAACAGGAUUAGAUACCCCAGUAGUCCCUGUCUCUUAUAC
Molecule: ribosomal RNA, 301 nt
Filed under: uncultured bacterium
Lineage: Bacteria
Description: partial 16S ribosomal RNA
Rfam family: Bacterial small subunit ribosomal RNA
Source: RNAcentral